This 387-nucleotide ribosomal RNA is filed under the name uncultured eukaryote. RNAcentral's name for it is "partial 18S ribosomal RNA". It matches the Rfam family "Eukaryotic small subunit ribosomal RNA", at positions 592 to 976 of the family's 1831-position model. The record is from RNAcentral.
CAAUAGCGUAUAUUAAAGUUGUUGCAGUUAAAAAGCUCGUAGUUGGAUUUCUGAUCGAGACAUCAGGUCGGGUCCGAGAGGAUCAUGUACUUUGAUUUGUUUUGAUCAUCCUUGGGGAGAGCAUUUCUGGCAUUCAGUUGUCGGGAUUGGGAUCCUCAUCGUUUACUGUGAAAAAAUUAGAGUGUUCAAAGCAGGCCUCGGCCUCUGAAUACAUUAGCAUGGAAUAAUAAGAUAGGACUUUGGUGGUCUAUUUUGUUGGUUUGCACGCCAAAGUAAUGGUUAAUAGGGAUAGUUGGGGGUAUUCGUAUUCAAUUGUCAGAGGUGAAAUUCUUGGAUUUAUGGAAGACGAACUACUGCGAAAGCAUUUACCAAGGAUGUUUUCAUUAA